This 372-nucleotide ribosomal RNA is filed under the name uncultured organism. RNAcentral's name for it is "bacterial SSU rRNA". It matches the Rfam family "Bacterial small subunit ribosomal RNA", at positions 526 to 897 of the family's 1533-position model. The record is from RNAcentral.
CGUAGGGUGCAAGCGUUAAUCGGAAUUACUGGGCGUAAAGCGUGCGCAGGCGGUUUUGUAAGUCAGAUGUGAAAUCCCCGAGCUCAACUUGGGAACUGCGUUUGAAACUACAAGACUAGAAUAUGUCAGAGGGGGUAGAAUUCCACGUGUAGCAGUGAAAUGCGUAGAGAUGUGGAGGAAUACCAAUGGCGAAGGCAGCCCCCUGGGAUAAUAUUGACGCUCAUGCACGAAAGCGUGGGGAGCAAACAGGAUUAGAUACCCUGGUAGUCCACGCCCUAAACGAUGUCUACUAGUUGUUGGUGGAGUAAAAUCCAUGAGUAACGCAGCUAACGCGUGAAGUAGACCGCCUGGGGAGUACGGUCGCAAGAUUAA